Mauremys mutica (yellowpond turtle) is the source of this 2753-nucleotide long non-coding RNA. RefSeq lists it as uncharacterized. The transcript is spliced from 3 exons. Lineage: Eukaryota; Metazoa; Chordata; Testudines; Geoemydidae. The record is from RefSeq and is a predicted model, not a curated record.
GCUCACGUGUUUCAAACAGAGCUUCUACGUUUGCCGGUCGUUAUGCGUUGGUUUGUAUUUUAAACCACCAACAAAUGCACCAGAUAUUAGUGAUUUGGAAAAUAAGUCAACGAGCAUCACAAAUCCGCACAAGGGAAUGAUAGCAGCCACAGACAGUCCAGACACAGUCAGUGAGCCACUUUUGGAUGAGACUGAAAUAGCUGCAUGUGAUGAAGGUAAAAAUGCAGAUAACUUUGACCCAUAUAACACUGAUGCAGCAUGCUGGGGCCUAGUAAAUGAAACGGUCCAAUCUUAUUAGAUCACAAAAGGGCCAACGCUAUGUCAAAGCAAACAUUUUGAUUUUUCAGCAUCUGAAAAACAAUACAAACAUCAAAAACAGUAUUUAUCGAAAACCCUCUUCACACGUACUCUUCAAAAUGGGGAAUCUGUACCUCGUGAGUGGCUUCUGUGUUCUCCAUCGACAGGGCCUGUUUUGGUUUUUUUUGCUUUGUGUGUGAUUGUUUGGAGAUUUGUCCUCUCAUACAAGGGCAUUUAGUGGUUGUGGCUUUAAUGACUGGAAACAUGAUGCAGUUUGUAUUGUUGAGCACAAGAGCAACACUUGUCACAGAAAUGCAAUGCUUACCUGGAUUUAUCGGACACAAGCCAAAGGGCAAAUUGACUCAGAACUGAAAAAAACCAGUUUGAAACUGACUUGCUUAUUGGAAAGAGGUCCUCAGAUCGGCUGUUGCAGUUAAGUUUCUGGCAGAGCGAGAGCUUUCUUUCAGAGGAGAUAUUGAAACUGUUGGAUCCCCCAACAACGGAAAUUACUUGGGCACCUUGGAAUUAUUGAAUCAGUUUGAUCCUUUUUUUAAAUGAACAUAUUAAAAAAUAUGGGAACACUGGUAAAGGAAAGCCUUCAUACCUUUCUUCAAUGAUUUGUGAGGAAUUUAUAACUUUAAUGGGACAAAGGGUGCUUUCAGAAAUAAACGGUCAGUUGCAGAUUGCAAAGUACUUUUCCAUUAUUGUAGAUUCCACUCCUGACAUCCCACAUAGAUCAACUUAUGUUCAUUGUCCACUGUGUGUUGCAAGAGGGGCAGAUUCAAGAGUGUUUUCUUAAAUUUCUUGCAAUAACGAGUCAUACUGGAGAAUCACUUUUGUAAUUCAGUUUUGCAGAAGAUGGACAUUGACAUAGCAAAAAGUUCUGCAAUCAUGAAUUCGGGAGAUAAACCCUUUAGUAGAGUGGUUACUUUGCAUAGCUCACACUCUCAAUUUCGUUGGAGUUAUGAGCGUAAACUGCUGCUUGGAGGCAAACAUGUUUUUUUUCCUUUGUUUAGUCACUUUUUAAUUUCUUCUUGAAAUCAGCCACUCACUGGCAAAUUGUUACGGCAGGAUUAGAGCCAAAUGACAAUAAGUGAAUCGAGACGCUGAAAGCUCUUUCAGAUACAACAUGGUAUGUACAUGACCGGGCUACAAAAGCACUAGGGCUGAAUUAUGAAAAUAUUCAGGAAUCUCUCUCUGAAAACCAGCCAAUGAUCCAAAUCAGAACUCAAAUACACAUAACGAUGCUCGAUCACUGUUCAUGAAAAUGGGCAAGAUGGAAAUUGCUUUUCUUUUCAACCUCUGGAACAGUUCUGCAGAGAUUUCAAGCAACAAGCACUGCACUUCAGGCUGUUGACCUUGACUUGCCUAAUGCUGUAAAGUUAGUGGUCUCUUUACAUGAUUUUGUGGCUGGUCUAUAAGUUCAGUUUGACAGCUUUGAAACUACCACUAAACAAAUGACACCUUGAGUUUCUCAACAGUAUAAAUUGGAAAAGCACUGUGAACUGAAGCAUAAAAAAACAACAGGACGAGUCUGGGGAGCCGGACUGUAAGUUGUCAGGCCAAGAGAAAUUUUGUGUGGAGGUUUUCAAUGUUAUUGAUAAACUUGUUGUAGAGUUGCAUCGCAAGUAUGAAGCAAAAGAAGAGGUAUGCGGCUACUUCGGAUUUAUGAACAAUCUUCAUCUAUUUUCUGUAUCGGAACUAUAUAAUUCAGCUCUUAAACUACAAAACAAAUAUAUUACUGACUUACAAGAGGAUUUUGCAUAUAAACUAGUUCAAUUUAGGGAGUUCACAAAAAACGAGGAAAACAAAAUGGCAAAGACACUACUUCACGUUUUAAGACAACUGAAUCUGCAGUCUGUGUUUCCCAAUGUACACAUUCCUUACGGAUUUUUUUUGACACUGCCAGUUACUAACGCUGGAGGGGAACAAUCGUUUGCAAAACUGGCGUUAAUAAAAAACAAGCUGAGGUCAAGCAUGGAUCAGAUGAGACUGAAUAAUUUGACGCUAAUAUCAACAGUGUAUGACUUGCUUCGUCAGCUGCAUUUCAGUGACAUCAUCAAGGAUUUCUCAGCCCUGAAGACCAGAAAGAAACUAAUAUAAUAGCUCUUCUAAGGGAAAUACUGGAACUGGAAAGAUGCUGGAUAGAGGUGAAGGAAAUGGCCUGGGACAAGGAAGUAAAGAGGACAGGAUCUUAGACUGUGUGCCCACUUCCUUUUUCUCUCAACAAAGGGUAGGUGAGAGCUAUCUUUCAACAACAUUGUGUCAAAGUGGGAGCUUCCUACAUGCCCUAAAACUAAAACAGUUAGUUCCAAGAGUCUUCUGUUUUGUUUUCUGCAAAGUAGAAAAAAUAUUAGAAAUAAGACAACAUGUACAACUUAGUUUAUUGGACUCCCCUACUUGAGAUCUACAACUCAGCCACAUGUGCAUCAUUUCUAGAGCAUGUUGCAAUUUGC